AAGCAUAUUUUUAUCAAAUACUC
This 23-nucleotide microRNA is filed under the name Ananas comosus (pineapple). RNAcentral describes it as "microRNA s1166_c013b". Lineage: Eukaryota; Viridiplantae; Streptophyta; Magnoliopsida; Poales; Bromeliaceae. The record is from RNAcentral.